This 397-nucleotide ribosomal RNA is filed under the name uncultured bacterium. RNAcentral describes it as "partial 16S ribosomal RNA". It matches the Rfam family "Bacterial small subunit ribosomal RNA", at positions 523 to 918 of the family's 1533-position model. The record is from RNAcentral.
AUACGUAGGGGGCGAGCGUUGUCCGGAAUGAUUGGGCGUAAAGGGCGCGUAGGCGGCGCGGUAAGUCUGGAGUGAAAGUCCUGCUUUCAAGGUGGGAAUUGCUUUGGAUACUGCCGCGCUUGAGUGCAGGAGAGGUUAUCGGAAUUCCCGGUGUAGCGGUGAAAUGCGUAGAGAUCGGGAGGAACACCAGUGGCGAAGGCGGGUAACUGGACUGCAACUGACGCUGAGGCGCGAAAGUGUGGGGAGCAAACAGGAUUAGAUACCCUGGUAGUCCACACUGUAAACGAUGAAUGCUAGGUGUAGGGGGUAUCGACUCCCUCUGUGCCGCAGUUAACACAAUAAGUAUUCCGCCUGGGGAGUACGGCCGCAAGGUUGAAACUCAAAGGAAUUGGCGGGG